RNAcentral lists this ribosomal RNA (253 nucleotides) under uncultured bacterium. RNAcentral's name for it is "partial 16S ribosomal RNA". It matches the Rfam family "Bacterial small subunit ribosomal RNA", at positions 524 to 776 of the family's 1533-position model. The record is from RNAcentral.
AACGUAGGUACCGAGCGUUAUCCGGAUUUACUGGGCGUAAAGCGCGUUCAGGCGGUUUGGCAAGUCGGGCAUGAAAUCUCUCGGCUCAACCGGGAGAGGUUGUCCGAUACUGCUGGACUGGAGGGCAGUAGAGGGUGGUGGAAUUCCCGGUGUAGCAGUGAAAUGCGUAGAGAUCGGGAGGAACAUCUGUGGCGAAGGCGACUGCCUGGACCAGCACUGACACUGAGGCACGAAAGCGUGGGGAGCAAACAGG